Molecule: transfer RNA, 71 nt
Filed under: Myotis lucifugus (little brown bat)
Lineage: Eukaryota; Metazoa; Chordata; Mammalia; Chiroptera; Vespertilionidae
Rfam family: tRNA
About the family: Transfer RNA (tRNA) molecules are approximately 80 nucleotides in length.
Source: Rfam by way of RNAcentral
GCCGGUGUGGCUCAGUGUAGAGCGUUGGCCUACACACCAAAGGGUCUUGGGUUCAAUUCCCAGCCCAGGUC